AUUGAACGCUGGCGGCAGGCCUAACACAUGCACGUCGAACGAGUGGCGGACGGGUGAGUAAUGUCUGGGAAACUGCCUGAUGGAGGGGGGAAACUACUGGAAACGGUAGCUAAUACCGCAUCCCAUCGGAUGUGCCCAGCUGGGAUUAGCUAGUAGGUGGGGUAAAGGCUUACCUAGGCGGCGAUCCCUAGCUGGUCUGAGAGGAUGACCAGACAGACUGGAACUGAGUCACGGUGCAGACGCCUACGGAAGUCAGCAGUGGGGAAUAUUGCACAAUGGGCGCAAGCCUGAUGCAGCCAUGGCGCGUGUAUGAAGAAGGCCUUCGGGUUGUAAAGUACUUUCAGCGGGGAGGCGUUACCCGCAGAAGAAGCACCGGCUAACGCCGUGCCAGCAGCCGCGGUAAUAC
RNAcentral lists this ribosomal RNA (406 nucleotides) under uncultured bacterium. RNAcentral's name for it is "partial 16S ribosomal RNA". It matches the Rfam family "Bacterial small subunit ribosomal RNA", at positions 30 to 526 of the family's 1533-position model. The record is from RNAcentral.